This is a non-coding RNA of Peromyscus maniculatus bairdii (prairie deer mouse), 1460 nucleotides long. The record is from RefSeq and is a predicted model, not a curated record. Lineage: Eukaryota; Metazoa; Chordata; Mammalia; Rodentia; Cricetidae.
GGAAAGGAGAAAGGAGAGAGACGCCAGCACCACCAGGAGAAGCAAGAUGUGAAAAUACUGAUUAGGAAAUCAAACAUGUCUACAACUACGGUUCAUAUGUGCUCCAUUAAAAUGGGUACAAGUCUCAGUAAGCAGGUAAUGCGGAGCUGUGCUAUUUCCUAGAGGACAUCAGCCGGUGUGCAAGCCCAUGUGAAAAGCCAGCCCGUGUGCUGAGAACUAGGGCCUCCUGCUGAGCCAACACCAACUGCUCAUCGGACAGGUGACAGGUAAAGCCAGAGCGAAUUCUAAAGCGCAACCGGGAGUCAAGGAGCAGUGUCUGUAGCCAGCCCAGCAAGACGGAAGUGCCGAGUGGGUUUUCCCACUGUAGGGAUUCAAGCAAACUACCUUCAUUUCUCCCUCUCCAGCAAGAGACCAGAAAAUCCCAGUCCUAAGGGCACUUGUUCUAGCUCAAGGGCAUAGGGUUGUUUUUUUUUUUUUUUUUUUUUUUCCUUCCUGGCAGAGGGCACUGGCUCAGUGAGCUAGCCAAGAGUUUAUACUUUUUAUUGCCAAGAUGGCAGCUACCCUGGCAAGCCUUGGGAAAGAUUGCUUGAAAAGGUCUUCGUGCACCUUGGAACUAUACGAAACCUUUCCCACCUCAUAAUGUUGGGAAAUAUUUAGCUCAAGAAGAAAGCUGACUAUAGAUGAUUUCAUCGAUCAUAUUUUAAGUAUUAUAAACAGAAAUCAGAUCCCAUUAACUAGUAGUGCAUUCCAAGCUGAAGCCUUGCUAAAUUGCCUAACGGGCUGAACAGGGGAACAAAGGAGGUUGUUGUGGAUUCACUGUGAAGAUGUCUGUAAGGUGGCACUCAUCUGGAGAAGCCAUUUCCCACGUCCCUUGUCCUGAUGCUUCACAAGCGCUCAGCACCUGGAGACUCCUAGAGAGCCUCCUGUCAGUGGCGAGCUCCGAAGUGACACUGACCACAAUGCAGAGCCAGAACUGUGAUGUGACACAGAAUCCUGUCCCUUACAGGUGCCUACAGCAAUCACUUGGGGUUUAUAUGUUCUUUAAGAAAUCUCAAUCAAUCUAUGAUAGUGGUUGUGUGAUACCACCCUGCAGAUCCUGAGAGAGCUCAGGGUCACUUAAGGUGGUCCAUUAGACCAAAACCACUUCCAUAGCCAUAAAAGACUGUCAUUUAUGUUUUGUUUUGGCUGUGUUGAAAUUUGCACUUAUGAUGUAAUAUCAAUGAUUUUUAAAAAAAAAGAAAGAAAGAAAAAAAGAAACUGGUCCGGUCCCAUGCAGUUUCCACAGCUGUUGGUCUAUGUUUGUGAGUUCCUCUGAGCUUGAUUCAGUUGUCUCUGUAUAUGUCCCCAUCGUGAUCUGGAUCCCCAUUGCUCAUAGAAUCCCUCUUCCCUCUCUUUGACUGGACUCCUGAGCUCAGCCUGGUGCUUGGCUGUGGAUCUCUGCAUCUGCUUCCAUCAGUUAC